CAGUGACGUCUUAUAGAUUAUUU
RNAcentral lists this non-coding RNA (23 nucleotides) under Mus musculus (house mouse). The record is from RNAcentral. Lineage: Eukaryota; Metazoa; Chordata; Mammalia; Rodentia; Muridae.